This 811-nucleotide ribosomal RNA is filed under the name uncultured bacterium. Its description in RNAcentral is "bacterial SSU rRNA". It matches the Rfam family "Bacterial small subunit ribosomal RNA", at positions 42 to 896 of the family's 1533-position model. The record is from RNAcentral.
GCAGGCUUAACACAUGCAAGYCCGAGCGGGCAUAGCAAUAUGUCAGCGGCAGACGGGUGAGUAACGCGUGGGAACAUACCUUUUGGUUCGGAACAACACAGGGAAACUUGUGCUAAUACCGUAUAAGCCCUUACGGGGAAAGAUUUAUCGCCGAAAGAUUGGCCCGCGUCUGAUUAGCUAGUUGGUGAGGUAACGGCUCACCAAGGCGACGAUCAGUAGCUGGUCUGAGAGGAUGAUCAGCCACAUUGGGACUGAGACACGGCCCAAACUCCUACGGGAGGCAGCAGUGGGGAAUAUUGGACAAUGGGCGCAAGCCUGAUCCAGCCAUGCCGCGUGAGUGAUGAAGGCCCUAGGGUUGUAAAGCCCUUUUGUGCGGGAAGAUAAUGACGGUACCGCAAGAAUAAGCCCCGGCUAACUUCGUGCCAGCAGCCGCGGUAAUACGAAGGGGGCUAGCGUUGCUCGGAAUCACUGGGCGUAAAGGGUGCGUAGGCGGGUCUUUAAGUCAGGGGUGAAAUCCUGGAGCUCAACUCCAGAACUGCCUUUGAUACUGAGGAUCUUGAGUUCGGGAGAGGUGAGUGGAACUGCGAGUGUAGAGGUGAAAUUCGUAGAUAUUCGCAAGAACACCAGUGGCGAAGGCGGCUCACUGGCCCGAUACUGACGCUGAGGCACGAAAGCGUGGGGAGCAAACAGGGAUUAGAUACCCUGGUAGUCCACGCCGUAAACGAUGAAUGCCAGCCGUUAGUGGGUUUACUCACUARUGGCGCAGCUAACGCUUUAAGCAUUCCGCCUGGGGAGUACGGUCGCCAGAUUA